RNA transcript from Egretta garzetta (little egret), 7635 nucleotides. It is a transcript of the gene named cytoplasmic linker associated protein 2, with no coding region annotated. The record is from RefSeq and is a predicted model, not a curated record. The transcript is spliced from 40 exons. Lineage: Eukaryota; Metazoa; Chordata; Aves; Pelecaniformes; Ardeidae.
UUCCGCAGCGGCCGAGGAUGGAGCCUGCCGGUAUGGAUUAUUUCUGCGACCAGGUGCAGCAGAAGGACGUGGGCCGCAGGAUGCAGGUCGGCCAGGAGCUGCUGGAGUACCUGAGCGACCCGGCGAGGUCCCCCGAUCUGGAGCAGGACCAGCAGCGCCUCGACAAAGUGAUCGACGAAUUGACAGGAUGGGUCAACUCCAGUAAUUUUAAGGUAGCAUUACUGGGAUUAGAUGUUUUAGGUGCCUUUGUUGACAGACUAUCAGGACGCUUUAAAUCCUAUAUAGGAACUGUUCUCCUGCCUUUGAUAGAUCGUAUGGGAGAUGCCAAAGACCAAGUUCGAGAGCAAGCACAGAACCUUAUAUUGAAAUUGAUGGACGAAGCAGCACCGCCCAUGUACAUUUGGGAACGCCUUGCUGUUGGUUUUAAACACAAGAAUUACCGAUCCCGAGAAGGAGUGUGUUUGUGUCUUAUUGCUACCUUAAACAAUUAUGGUGCACAACCAUUAGUCCUCAGCAAGUUGGUACCGCAUCUGUGUACAGCAUUUGGCGACUCGAAUAGUCAGGUGAGAGAUGCUGCAAUACUAACCAUUGUGGAGGUUUACAGACAUGUGGGAGAGAAAGUACGAAUAGAUCUUACAAAGAGAGGAAUUCCUCCUGGAAGGUUGCAAACAAUCUUUGCAAAAUUUGAUGAAGUAAGAAACUCUGGAAAUAUGAUUUUAAGUAACGUCAGUGACAAAAGCUUUGAUGAUGAAGAGUCAGUGGAUGGAAAUAGGCCAUCAUCAGCUGCUUCAGCCUUCAAGGUUCCGGCACCUAAAAAGCCAGGAAAUCCUUCAAACAGUGCAAGAAAGCCAGGAUCAGCUGGUGGGCCUAAGGUUGGAGGUUCCUCUAAAGAAGGAGGAGCUGGAGCCGUGGAUGAGGAUGAUUUUAUUAAGGCAUUUACAGAUGUUCCUACUGUACAGAUCUAUUCUAGUCGAGAACUUGAAGAAACGUUGAACAAAAUCAGGGAAAUACUCUCAGAUGACAAACAUGAUUGGGAUCAACGAACUAAUGCGCUGAAGAAAGUUCGGUCAUUGCUUGUUGCUGGAGCUGCACAGUACGAUGGAUUUUUCCAGCAUUUACGGUUGUUGGAUGGCGCUUUCAAGCUGUCGGCCAAGGAUCUCAGAUCCCAGGUGGUUAGAGAAGCAUGCAUUACUGUAGCCCAUCUUUCAACUGUUUUGGGAAACAAGUUUGAUCAUGGCGCUGAAGCUAUUGUGCCUACUCUUUUUAAUCUGGUUCCCAACAGCGCCAAAGUGAUGGCAACUUCUGGGUGCGCAGCCAUUAGAUUCAUUAUUCGGCAUACCCAUGUGCCACGACUCAUACCUUUAAUAACAAGCAACUGUACUUCAAAAUCUGUUGCAGUUAGGAGGCGCUCCUUUGAAUUUUUAGACCUGUUGUUACAAGAGUGGCAGACACAUUCGUUGGAAAGGCAUGCAGCUGUCUUGGUUGAAACAAUCAAGAAGGGCAUUCAUGAUGCUGAUGCAGAAGCAAGAGUGGAGGCAAGAAAGGCUUAUCUGGGUCUUAGAAAUCACUUUCCUAGUGAAGCUGAGACUCUCUACAAUUCUCUUGAGCCACCCUAUCAAAGAAGCCUCCAGACCUACUUGAAGAAUUCUGGCAGUAUAGCAUCUCUCCCUCAGUCAGACAGGUCAUCCUCCAGCUCACAGGAGAGCCUCAAUCGGCCUCUAUCUUCUAAAUGGUCUGCAGCCAGCCCAGCAAGCCUUGCAGGCAGAGUUUCAGGCAGCAGCAAGAGUGUUCCAAGCCCAGGAACUCUGCAAAGGUCUCGCAGCGACAUUGAUGUUAAUGCUGCCGCGGGUGCAAAGGCCCGCCAUGCUGCUGGACAGACAGCUGGAGCUGGGCGCUUGUCCACAGCUGGUCUACCUCCAGGCUCUUACGCUUCGCUAGAGGAUACUUCUGACAAGAUGGAUGGUCGUGUACGAACAAAGCUUUCAACGCCUUCUGUUGGUAUUGGAAAUUCUAAAACAGAUUCCAGAGGACGGAGUAGAACCAAAGUGGUGUCACAGUCUCAGCCUGGCAGUAGAUCUGGGUCUCCUGGAAGAGUUUUGACAACAACCACACUUUCCACUAUGAACACAGGAGUUCAGAGAGUGUUAGUGAAUCCUGCAACUGCACAAAAAAGAAGCAAAAUCCCACGAAGUCAGGGAUGCAGUAGAGAAGCUAGUCCUUCUAGACUGUCAGUAGCACGAGGCAGCCGCAUUCCUCGGCCUAGUGUGAGUCAGGGGUGCAGUCGGGAGGCCAGCCGUGAAAGUAGCAGGGACACAAGCCCUGUCCGCUCUUUUGCACCCCUUGGUACCGGCUUUGGAAUUAGUCAGUCAAGUAGAUUGUCAUCAUCAGUUAGUGCUAUGCGAGUUCUGAACACAGGUUCUGACGUGGAAGAGGCAGUAGCAGAUGCUUUGAAGAAGCCCGUGCGAAGAAGAUAUGAGUCCUAUGGGAUGUACUCAGAUGAUGAUGCCAACAGUGAUGCAUCAAGUGCCUGUUCAGAAAGGUCCUAUAGCUCUAGGAAUGGAAGCAUACCAACGUACAUGAGGCAGACAGAAGAUGUGGCUGAAGUCCUAAAUCGUUGUGCUAGCUCCAACUGGUCAGAGAGAAAAGAAGGCCUUCUAGGCCUGCAAAACUUACUAAAAAACCAGAGAACUUUAAGUCGUGUUGAGUUGAAAAGGUUGUGUGAAAUCUUCACAAGAAUGUUUGCUGAUCCUCACAGUAAGAGAGUGUUCAGUAUGUUUUUGGAGACACUGGUGGACUUCAUCCAGGUCCAUAAAGAAGAUCUGCAGGACUGGUUGUUUGUACUGUUGACACAGCUGUUGAAAAAAAUGGGUGCUGAUUUGCUUGGGUCUGUACAAGCAAAAGUUCAGAAGGCACUUGAUGUCACAAGGGAAUCUUUUCCAAAUGACCUCCAGUUCAGUAUUUUAAUGAGGUUUACUGUUGACCAGACCCAAACACCUAGCCUGAAGACAGUCAAGCCAGCACUACAGGACCAGCUUCGCUCUUUUUGGAGCUCAAAGGUCAAAGUUGCAAUCCUUAAAUACAUAGAGACUCUUGCUCAACAGAUGGAUCCAGGAGAUUUUGUAAAUUCAAGUGAAACUAGGUUAGCAGUGUCUCGAAUCAUCACCUGGACCACAGAACCUAAAAGCUCAGAUGUUAGGAAGGCUGCACAGUCAGUGCUGAUUUCCCUUUUUGAACUCAACACUCCAGAGUUUACAAUGCUAUUGGGUGCUUUACCAAAAACAUUUCAGGAUGGAGCCACGAAGCUUCUCCAUAAUCAUCUCCGGAAUACAGGCAACAGUGGUCAGGGAUCAAUGGGAAGUCCUUUAACAAGACCUACUCCACGUUCCCCAGCAAGUUGGUCAAGUCCCCUCACUUCCCCAACCAAUACAUCGCAGAACACAUUGUCACCAAGUGCAUUUGACUAUGACACUGAAAAUAUGAAUUCUGAAGAUAUUUACAGCUCUCUUCGUGGAGUCACUGAAGCCAUUCAGAAUUUCAGUUUUCGUAGUCAGGAAGAUAUGAACGAGCCUGUAAAACGAGAUUCCAAAAAAGAUGAUGGUGAUUCGAUUUGCAGCGCUUCUGGAAUAGUAGACCUACGAGCAGGAAGUGGUGUGAGCGACACAGGCCGAACAGCUCUUGAUAACAAAACAUCAUUACUCAACACAAUGCCUCCCCACUCUUCACCACGUUCACGAGAUUAUAACCCAUACAAUUAUUCGGAUGGUAUCAGUUCAUUUAAUAAAUCUGCUUUGAAAGAAGCCAUGUUUGAUGAUGAUGCAGAGCAAUUUCCUGAUGAGCCUCCCAUGGACCAUUCUGAUCUGGUUGCAGAGUUACUGAAAGAGUUAUCAAACCAUAAUGAGAGAGUUGAGGAAAGAAAGGCUGCCCUGUACGAGCUCAUGAAGUUAACUCAGGAAGAGUCUUUCGGUGUUUGGGAUGAGCACUUCAAAACAAUACUACUUUUGCUGCUUGAAACACUUGGAGAUAAAGAGCAUGCAAUUAGAGCUUUGGCAUUGAAAGUUCUAAGAGAAAUUCUAAGAAACCAGCCAGCAAGGUUUAAGAACUACGCAGAGCUCACAAUCAUGAAGACAUUAGAAGCGCAUAAGGAUCCUCAUAAGGAGGUGGUGAGAUCUGCUGAAGAAGCUGCUUCCAUGCUGGCCACUUCCAUUAGCCCAGAUCAGUGCAUCAAAGUUCUUUGUCCAAUUAUCCAAACUGCAGAUUACCCCAUUAAUCUGGCUGCAAUCAAAAUGCAAACAAAAGUCAUAGAAAGAGUAUCUAAAGAAACCCUUACUCAGCUUUUACCAGAGAUUGUGCCAGGUCUAAUACAGGGUUAUGAUAAUUCAGAGAGCAGUGUUCGUAAGGCAUGUGUUUUCUGCCUUGUAGCCAUUCAUGCAGUAAUUGGUGAUGAACUAAAACCACAUCUCAGUCAACUCACUGGCAGUAAAAUGAAAUUAUUGAACCUUUACAUCAAACGUGCACAAACAGGCUCUGGACCAGGGGAUACAACAGCAGAUAUGUCUGGACAAAGCUAAUGAAGCUGACAAGAAUUAACCAGGUCUCCUAAAGCAGGGGCAAGGCCCUCUUCAGUGAAAGGAAAAUUCUCACAUACAACUUUUGGAAUGUUUUUCUUGAUUUUUUUUUUUUCCCUUUCUUUUGUUUUGUUUGUUUGGUUUUUUUCCUUAACCAACGGCUGUCCUCAGCCUGCAUGUGACUGUUGCAAUAGAAUUAUUCCAAAUCCAAGGAAAAACAGUAUUAACAUCAGUUGAUCAAAGCAGAAUAAAAUUUAAAAAUAAUCUAAUCCAUCAGUUAUCCUGUUCGCAAUCCUCUGUGUCUUCCCAUUAACUUUUGCCAGUGUUACUGUAUUUAAAAAAGAUUUUUUUUUAAUGCUAAUUAAAAAGGUAUGCUUUAAGCUUCAGAAGUUAAAAUAUAAAUUCUGUUGCUUUUAUUCAGCUGCAGAUAGCAUUACUUUUUUAUUGCUAUUUUGUUUGAGUAUCAUGUCCUUUGCUAGAAACAAGAAGUGAUGUGAACCAGGGCUGAACUAGUCUGAACUGCAGUGAGACUCGUUCGCUGUGGUGGUGGUUCAUCAUCUUAUUUACAGCUUGUUUGGGAUAUUCUGGAGAUUGAGAAAUAUGCCUAUAAAAAAAGCUGGAUUGAUCCAGUUCUGUAAAAGUGAUAUUGUUCAUUGGUUGUAUGUUUGUUGCAUAAAUAAGAAUUUAGUGUGCGCAGUAGAGGACUGGUACAACCAGUACCUCUUAAUGUGGAAGACAGCCCUUUCAGGGUAGCAUUGCUGACCUGGUGAUAGUGUGGCAGUCUGCUUUUUAGCAGCAGAGUUAAUGGUCACUUGAUGGACGUGAACCAUCCUUGUCACCUUUCGUUCUUCAAGCAGGAUGCUUCAGAAUGGAGUGCUCUGCCCAAGCAUGCUCACAAGCUAAUUAACUGAGAACUGGGAUGAAACAGUGCCCUUCCCAGGAAUGGUGGAACUUUUUUUUCCUGACUUUUUUUCCCUUUGACUGUGAUGUUGUCUAGUUGUAGGAAGUGUAUCCUGAUAAGAGAGAAAAUAGCGGUGCCAAGGAUGAUGAUCUAUGCUAGGCUAAAAUUCUCUCUACCUCUUCAGGGUGACUAAUUUUUGACUGAGCUGCUGCAUAUAGCACCCGGUGGAAGAACUAUCUACAGAAAAUAUUCCUUUUUUUUUUUUUUGUUCCCGAAUUACCACUUGAUGUCUAUUCAAAACUCUCUUCUUCAACAUUGCAGCCAAAUAUCAGAAGAAACUACUUACACACUUUACUUGCUAGGAACCCUGAAAAGCAGAACUGAACAAAAAUUAAGUCAGUUGCUUGUAGUUACAUGAAAGGUUGUUUUCACUUUAGUUUGAAGUGAAUCCAAUAGAAAGAGCUAAGAUGUGGUUGUUAAAGCAGCAAUGCCGUUUCAGAGAUUUAUUUGGAGGAAAAGUUGUAGAAAUAUAUAUAAAGACUUAAAACCAAGACUGUCAUAACUUGUCACUAGCCCUUUUUAGCAGCUACAUCAAGAAAAUAGUAUCUCCUCUUUCUUUCCUUUGUUAUGUGUAACAUCCUUGUUGUUUUCUACUGUUUAAUUACAUUGUGUAUUUAUAGUUCUAUGCUUACCAUUGUGCAUAUACUGGCAAUAAAAUGUACAUAACAUUACUUAAAAAAACAGCAAUGUAUACAUUCUGGUUUUCUGUUCUAUUUGAUCACAUGCGAUAAGAAAAAUUAUAAAUGUGAUUGAUACAACAUUGGUUAAAAAAAAAUAUCUUCAUGUUUUGUGUGUCAAAAUGAUGUUUAAAUACUCUUGUUACUAAAUCUGACUUGGCAUUUGAGAACAUGCUGUGAAUAUAGGUAAGCUAGGCAAAAAUGGGUUUUGGAAAUUGCAUAGAAUCUUUAUGAACACCCAGUUUCCUUCAUCUAGGCAGGUUUUGUGUUUACUAUUUCAUUUAUUUGUAUGUUAUAUAUUGUUUCCAUUUUAUUUUUUUAAUAUUUCAAAAAUAUUUUUUCAAGCUACAGUCUUGUAGUUUACAUUUUGAUUAUACAAAAGAUCACUUUAAAAAAAAAAAUAUGGCACAAAUUCUAAGCUUAAUAGUCCCAUAUGUUAUUCCUGCUUUUUCUACAGGUAAUACAUAUUUUCAGAGUAUCAUUUCAAGAUGACUGCUGUUUGUCAUCUUUUUGAAGAUGCUAUUUCAUACUGAAAAAAUAAGUUAUUGAAACAUACAGUAUAUAUACUGGAUGAACCUAAUGUGGGUUUUUUGUGUAAACAAAAGUUGGUAAGAAAGAAGUAGUUUUAUCCGCUAUAUGAAUGAAAGAUUUUGCUCUGGGUAGCAGGGGGGAAGAAAAUAUUUACACAAAGUUUGUCCCUCAGCUUUGCUUCUAAGCCAUGUUUAAAUGUUUUACGUGUGGAUUCCCAUAUAUUAAAAUCUAAAUGCAUAUAUUUAAAUUUAUAUUUUAGUUAUGAUAUGACUAGUUCUGUUUCCAACAAAGAUGGGGCUGCUAUAGCGAAUAGAAUCUAUUUAUAUUACACGGAGUCAUCAGAAUGUAAGAAUUGGCAACAAAAUUAUUUCCACUGCGGCCAGUUAUCAGAUUCACAGCACUGCUUUUUGCCUUCAUUUCCCAUAUGAUAAAUAGACAUUAGCUCAGUUAAAUUUGAGCAGUGAUUAGUCAUGCCUUACGUUCCUGCUGGAGGUGGCUUCUCUAACGGUUUAGCAUAAAGAUCUGGGGAAAAUCAGGACAAUUAAGACAAUUACAAGUUGCUGUUCUUUCAGAAAAGGUUUCUUUAUGUUCUUUGUAAUAUUCUGUAAAGAAUAGGACAUUGCAAUCAUUUGAAUACUGAAAUGUAAUUCUUAAAGGUUGGGUUUGAGCUUAAAAAAAGAGGAAGAAGGAAAGAAAGCUACAUGCAAAAAGUCAGGAUAGAAAAUGCAUGUCUUGGAUGUCUCGGACUUGGAUGUCAUUUGCUUUAAAGAAUUUUGAGUAACACAUUAUGUUCAGCUGAAGUCUUAGCCAGGAAGUUGGGUUAGUAAAUGUAAACUGAAAGGAGAGCUGAUCGUGUAAAUUUUCCUGAGUUGGGUUGCCUGUAUGUUUUUGAAGAUAAAGG